Molecule: ribosomal RNA, 439 nt
Filed under: uncultured bacterium
Lineage: Bacteria
Description: partial 16S ribosomal RNA
Rfam family: Bacterial small subunit ribosomal RNA
Source: RNAcentral
CCUACGGGAGGCAGCAGUGGGGAAUAUUGCACAAUGGGCGAAAGCCUGAUGCAGCAACGCCGCGUGAGCGAUGAAGGCCUUCGGGUCGUAAAGCUCUGUCCUCAAAGAAGAUAAUGACGGUACUUGAGGAGGAAGCCCCGGCUAAUUACGUGCCAGCAGCCGCGGUAAUACGUAGGGGGCUAGCGUUAUCCGGAAUUACUGGGCGUAAGGGGUGCGUAGGUGGUUUCUUAAGUCAGAGGUGAAAGGCUACGGCUCAACCGUAGUAAGCCUUUGAAACUGGGAAACUUGAGUGCAGGAGAGGAGAGUGGAAUUCCUAGUGUAGCGGUGAAAUGCGUAGAUAUUAGGAGGAACACCAGUUGCGAAGGCGGCUCUCUGGACUGUAACUGACACUGAGGCACGAAAGCGUGGGGAGCAAACAGGAUUAGAUACCCUUGUAGUC